RNA transcript from Hypanus sabinus (Atlantic stingray), 8629 nucleotides. It is a transcript of the gene named cytochrome P450 2C38-like, with no coding region annotated. The transcript has 5 exons. The record is from RefSeq and is a predicted model, not a curated record. NCBI's taxonomy places the organism in Eukaryota, Metazoa, Chordata, Chondrichthyes, Myliobatiformes, Dasyatidae.
UAAAAAUGAGAAUGUUUGUCAGGACCAUGGUGUUACAUGACACAGUACAAAAACUAGACUGAACUAUGUAAAAAUAAACAACACAGGGAAAGCUACACUGGACUACAGACCUACACAGGACUGCAGAAAGUGCACAAAAACAGUGCAGGCAUUACAAUCAAUAAUAAACAGGACAAUAGGGCAGUAAGGUGUAAGUCCAGGCUUUGGGUAUUGAGGAGUCUGCUAGCUUGGGGGAAGAAACUGGUACAUAGUCUGGUCGUGAGAACCCGAAUGCUUCGAAGCCUUUUCCCAGACAGCAGAGGGAGAAGAGAAUGUAUGAGGGGCGUGGGGUCCUUCAUAAUGCUGUUUCCUUUGCGGAUGCAGCGUGCAGUGUAAAUGUCCGUGAUGGCGGGAAGAGAGACCCCAAUGAUCUUCUCAGCUGACCUCACUGUCCACUGCAGGGUAUUGUGAUCCAAGAUGGUGCAAUUUCAGGACCAGGCUGUGAUGCAGCUGCUCAGGAUACUCUCAAUACAGCCCCUGUAGAAUGUGAUGAAGAUGGGGGGGUGGGAGAUGGACUUUCCUCAGCCUUCACAGAAAGUAGAGAUGCUGCUGGGCUUUCUUUGCUAUGGAGCUGGUGUUGAGGGACCAGGUGAGAUUCUCUGUCAGGCGAACACCAAGAAAUCCAUUUAAACCUUUCCUAUCCAUAUAUCUGUCCCAAUAGUUUUUAAGUAGUAUUACUAAACCUGCAUCAACCAUCUCUCCUGGCAGCUUAUUGUAUACAGACCACUCUCUGAUGGAGGAAUUGCCCCCCCCCCCAGGUUCAUACUAAAUCACUCCUUCGCACCUUAAACCUAUACCUUCUAGUUCUCAGAUGAAAGGUCUCAAUCUGAAGCGUUGUGAGUCCAUUUCUCUCUGUAUUCGAUGCCCAGUGUGUAGAGUUCCUCAGUACGAUGAGUGUUGCUCCAGAUUCCAGCAACUUCUGCCACUUGAUUCUCCACCCUACCAAAUAAAACUGGGCGCAUCCAUCAUAACUUUGCCCCUUGUGAUCUUGUUUAGAUAUAGAGCACGGAACAGUCCCUUCCAACACAAGGUGCCACACUACACAGCAACCCAGCUGGAUAACAGCCUCUCCCCCCCCCCCCCCCCAGGCUGUGAGACCUCUGAACCCCCUGCUACCUCCCACUACACAUUACUUAUGACAGUGCCAGCAGCAGUCAUACUGUUGUGCAUUUUACUGCAUGUUGUAUUUAUACUUUAUGGCCACUUGUAAAUCUACAGAAUACUUUUUUGUCAGUUGAAAGUUCAGAGUAAAUGGGAUUAUCAAAGUACAUAGAUGUCACCACAGACAGCCCUAAGUUUCAUUUAAUUGUGGGCAUAAUCAAUAUAUCUAUAGAAUAGUAACUAACAGGAUCAAUGAAAGAUCAACCAGAUUGCAUAUGCAACUAUAAAUAAAUAGCGAUAAAUAUCGAGAUCAUGAGGUAAUGAGAUAAAGGGUCCUUAAAAUGAGAUCAUUGGUUGUGGGAACAUUUCAGUGAUGGGACAAGUGUGUGAAGUUAUCCCCUUUUAUUCAAGAGCCUGAUGAUUAACUGUUCUUGAACCUGGUGGUGUGAGUCCUGAGGCUCUUGUACCUUCUACUUGAUGGCAGCAGUGAGAAGAGAUCAUAGGCUGGGUGGUGGGGUCCCUGAUGAUGGAUAUUGCUUUCCUACAUCAGUUUGAUUUAUCUUUAAUAUUAUUAUAUUUAGUAUGCGAUAUAUGUUCUCUGUUUUUGCACCUUUUUCCUGAUAAAUGGUGUUUAGCUAUAUAUAUGUGUACAGUUGUAUGACAAUGAACUUGAAUUUGAACUGGACAAGAGAUGGAAUAGAAGAAGGUCCAGUAGGAACAUUAAUUGAGUAAAGAGUUCUUGAGCAAUUGCUAUCUGAAAUCUAAAAUCAUGAUGAAAUAUAAACAUCUCGUGACAAUGGCAUUUUCAGGAGUGCCUUCAAUCAGCACCAACCCAAAUGCAUUGCCCCGUCAGUUUCGUAAUACUGCCCCUAAUCUUGUACAGGCCCUCCUCGUUUUAGAUGGCUACUGCACCUCCUCAAAUCAAAUCAAGUUUAGUUAUCAUUCACCCAUACAUGGAUACAACCAAAUGUAACAGUGUUCCUCUGGGACAAGGUGCAAAACAUACACAGCACAUUCAAAACAGCAAGGAAAAAAAAGUCACGCAAAAAUCUUGUCCAAGACAUUGAGUGACAUGUCCUGCCAAUUGAUGGUAUAGUUCCCGGCAAUCCAGCCUGUCAUUCCACAGAUCAAACACUGGAGGGCCCCACUGAAGGGGUGUUGGGCCAAGAUGCAGGGCUGGUCUCUUCACCCUGAAUGGGAAACUUCCAGUCACAAAUCUCUAAACUUCCUUUCCCUGAGCAGAGCGCCCUAGAUAUCAAGCAGGAUAGAACCAGACUACAGCGCACAGUGAGGACUGCUGAGCGCAUCAUUGGAGCCUCCCUGCCCUCUAUUGUGGACCUGUACUCUUCCAGGUUGAAGAAGAGGGCGGGGAACAUCAUAAAGGACUCCUUCCAUCCUGCGCACGGACUGUUUGAACUGCUUCCGUCUGGUAGGCGCUUCAGAUCCCUCCAGACUAAGACUAAUAGGCACUGGAGAAGUUUUUUCCCUACUGCGGUCACUUUGCUGAACAGUUAACUGCCGGUUAACUGUUGGCUAACUAUUACUUGGAUUGCACUACUUGUAUGUAUAAUCUAUAUUUUCAUUUAUAUUUAUCAUCUGUUAUGAGCAGAGAGACAACAUCUGCCGGAAGUAAAUUCCUUGUAUGUGCACAGGUACUUGGCGAUUAAAGUCUGAUUCUGAUUCUGAUCCUCCCUUUGGUUUGUGGCUUGAAAACACCCAAAUUGUGCACAAACCAAUGUUUGGGAGACCAGCGGGAUGGACAUGCUGGCAGCUGCAGGGCAGCAGGCAUCUUCUGCUGGGUGGGAGCUCGGUCUGUGGCCACGCUAGCAACUUGCAGUCGGUUAACUUCCAGUUACAAACAGUCCUCAGGAGUGGAGCCCUAACAUUAACCUGGAAAGGACCUGUAUGCAAACGAAUUAUCAAGCGUAGUCCUGCUUGAUGUCCAAGAAUCUUUAACCUGUUAUGUGUGAUGAGAAAAGCAGAUGGAGAUGGGGUCCAGAGUUGACCCCCCUGUGAACUAUGCUGCUAACGAGAGAGAUGAAGAGGAGGUGGAGGCAUCCUGUUGCAGAUGGGAGAGAGAGAGAGACAAGGAUUAAAAUGGAUGAUUUAGUAUUAUGGCUUCUUCACUAAUUGUUGACUUUAAUGCCAAGGACGUUUGGCCUGUUUCUGUGGAUAUCUGCUGAAACAACAGAGUGAUGCAAGGUGCCUGCUGAGAGAGGAGGGAGGAGCCAGUUCGAUGGACAUGGAGUUGAUGGAUGGCUGAUACCCCGUCAGGGGAGAUAAAAGAUAGGUCUGCUGAGAGACCGGCAGACACGCCAUGAGACACUGCAAGAGUGUUGUGCACCCACAGGAAGGUGAAGGCUUGGAGGACCGAAUCGGGAGAUCGGUCACAAAGCUCACAUUGUGACAGCAGGGCCAGUGGGGACUUGUGUGUGUGUCCACUCACGCCAGAGUGACGAGUCCACCAUGGAAGAAUGGUCUAGCCAAGGAUGGAGGGGUCAUAACCGAAUUACCACAUCAGUACAACGGAACAAGAAGACAACGGAAGGUUCACUUCAGUGACUGAUGAACGGCCCUACCUAUUUUAAAAAGCAGAUGUUACAUUCUUCAGUCUGAGCUUGCCGUGGCUGCUCAGAAUGAUGGUCCUUGUGAUCUGGAGCUCUUCCGUGUGGUUCAGGUUCAUCUGUACCUCAUAUUCGAUGAAGAAUACACGAGUUACUUGCCUGCUGGUCUAAGUAGAUAUGUUAAAUUCUAACGGAGGAAUUUCUUUAGCCAGAGGGUGGUGAAACUGUGGAAGUCAUUACCACAGGUGGCUGUGGAGACCAAGUCAUUGGGUACAUUUAAGGCAGAUAGAUUCUUGGUUGGUCAGGGCAUGAAGGGAUACAGGGAGAAGGCAGAAGAUAGGAGAUGGGAGCUGAGAGGGGAAUUGAUCAGCCAUGAUGAAGUGACAGAACAAAUGGGCUAAUUCUGCCCCUGUGUCUUAUGGUCUUGUGGUUUAACUUGUAUUUGGUGUCACUCUCAUUGUUUGCUGGUGAAAUGACUGCACUUGGGUUCACUAUUGUUCCCUUGUUGUUUCUUACAUACUAAAGCACUGCAGGAUGCGUAAACUCAUUCCCUCUCCAUCUUCUGAAUGAGUGAACCCUGUGGGAAUUGAGUCACGGCUUCAUGCUUUGAGUUGUUGAGGGAUACAGCAUGGGUGGCAGGGUGUAGUUAUGUAUCUACCAAAGGAGGUGUAAGGCAUUUCGUUUCUCUGCUAUUCUGCAGGUCACCCUUGGGCAGGUGCUUCACCUAUUUAACCCUCCCCAUCUCCCCCCCCCACCACCGGGUAUCAGGGUCAUGUGAAGCCAUGGGAGCAGGUGGUGGAUGGUCGUAUGAGCAGUUGGUGCAUAUCACAAGUCCUGGCAUUGCGACCACUGACGCCUCACGAGGAUAGACCUCUGUACUUUCCAACUGUGACCACUAUAAGCCUUGGCUCUCAAACUCUGCUUGAUUUCUAUCAUCCCAUUACAACAGAAAAUGAAAAAGAAGAGGAACAACGACAGCAAGACAAGCCCUUGCUUCCUACCCCACACACCCCAGGACAGGCCUCCACAUUUCUGGGCCUUCAGAUUCCAGUGCACUCUAACUAUCAGACAUCGGAUCUUUGACUUCCCCAGCAAUCUUGCAAAGGGUCACAGACCCAAGGCUUCAGCCAUCAGGCCUCAACUUUUGGACUUUCAAUCUACCCUGGACUUGCCAAUAAUAUUGAAAUGAAGACCCCCAAAUUCUGGGCCUCAAACUCAGGUCUCACCGACUUGUGUACCUGGGAGGUCAUUGGCCCUCAUGCCUCCUGUCCGCACAGGACUCCAAUGCUGGAAAAUGCUGCCAAUUCAUUCUCAUUUACCUUAGGGUGGGGGCCACCAGCCUUUGUCCUAACUAGUUUGCCAGACCGACAUUCAACCUCAGGAACUAUGUAAGUAAAUUCCACACAUUUAUUUAUUUAGAGAUACAGCUCGGUAAUAGGCCCUUCCAGCCCAACAAGGCCGUGCCACUCAACUACACGCAUGUGACCAAUUAACCUACUAACCCAUGUAUCUGGAUUGUGAGUGGAAACUGGAGCACCUGGAGGAAACCCAAGUAGUCAUGGGGAGAACAUACAAACUGCUUGCAGUGUCAGGAAUUGAACCCAGAUCGCUAGCGAGGUAAUAGUGUUGUGCUCACCACAAAUGCUACCAUUAAACAUGCAUGUAGCUUGCCUGUUAUAUAGUCGUAGUCUCCUGGGUUUUACAGAUUACAGGAUAAAUUUAAAUACCCGGUCCUUAAAUAUUACUCUCCUCGAAGAGGGCCACGACCUUGUUGUGGUUUGAGGCUUGCGUGCCUCAAUGACCCGGAGAGCUAUGUUGGCUGGACUCAGGGCUUUAUGAUUUGACUGUUGGUAGGGUCACCCAUGUCAAAGAAUAGAGGCCAGAUUCAGAGUGGUCCACCAGUACUCCAGGUUCAGGGAGUUCAGCUCAGGGUGAACAACCCUGACUGGUCAAACAAAAUUGUUAUGGAAACAGCAUGAAGAAUCCCUCUGCACGUGAGUGUGACAGAAUACCCGAGUCUCCAUCUGGACUUGUGUGACUGACACUAGUGAAACCACAGGGACGGGGAGUGACUGACAUGAUGAAGGAAGCCCCGAACACCACCGGAGAUGGAGGAGCUUCAUUGCUGCUCUAAAUGCUGGCGGUGUAAUGGGCAGUCAGUCAGUAAGUAAUGUUACUGUGUACAAUAGGCUGUCCUGAAAUACACACCAACUAGUCUGGCAUGGUUUAAUAAAUUAGUGUAAGAAAUUGCUUAUCAUAUGUACUGACUGUAAUAUAAAUGCUUGUGGUCAUGAGUAUUGACAAGUUAGCUUUUAUUUAUUUACUGUAAUUAGUGAAUACAUGUCUCAAAUUAUUUAAAAUCUAACAUUUGUUUACCAUCACCAUGUCUGAGAUGCUGAAGUGUUGGAAUGGACAGUAGUUUUGAUGGACUGUCGAUGAUGGUCUCUGCAAGAUUUGCUGAUGCUUGCAUGGUGGUGGUGGGGGGGGGGGGGGUUGAUGCCUUUGCUGGGGCAAGUGGGGGAAAGGGGAGGGUUGUUGAUUUUGUUGCUGCUUGUUAGGGGGAGGGAGGCUUUGGGGUUCUAACGUUUUCUGUCAUUCUUUGUGCUUUUCUGUUUUGUGAAUGUCUGUGAAGAGUAAGAAUUUCAGGUUGUAUACUGUAUACACUCUGAUAUUAAAUUGAAACAUUGAACCAUAACUCUUUUAAACAUUAAUGGAUUUCCAGCUUAAACAGAACAACCGCCCAUCUCACUGUUGCCAUGGGAACAGCUGAUGUAUUUCUGUGUGACCAAACAGGGAAGUUUCAUAAUUUUAAGUGUUAAAAUGUGUUUAAAGAAUAUUUAAUAAAGAAUUUUAUAAUGGCAAAUUUAAAUGCUGAUAAUAAACAACUUGUUGAUUACAAUGUGAGAUUUUGAUAAUAACACAGUGGUUUGAACAUAUCCUGUGGUUCCUGAAUAACUGACACAAGAUAUAAAUUUUUUUAAAUAUCAGGGCCACAUCAGCAGAUGAAAGAUUUGUGUUUUUUUGCCACAUUUACAUCGAAGCAGAGUGAAAUAUGUCUUUUGCCUCAAUGACCAUCGCAGUCAGUGGAUGAGCUAACACCCACACCUCACGAAGCCUAACCUGUAUGUCUUUGGUUUGUGGGAGGAAACCAGAGCACCUGGAGGAAAGUCAUGUGACGACAGGGAGAAUGUCCAAACUCCCUGCAGACAGCAGUGGGAAAUGAAGCAGGUCACUGGUGCAGUAAUAGCAUUAUGCUGUUCUGCUACACAUUAAUGUUCCUGAGGAUGUCAACCUCUGUUUACUGACCAGAGCCAUUUCAACACUCAGUCUGGGAUUGCUGACUCUGGGACACUGUUGUGUGUGCUGCUUCACUCGCUGUGUCACCUAGUGAACUGAUGUGUGUUGAAGCUGGAUGUCAUGUGAUGUCAGAACAUUGAUACAAUAAUCAACAAUCUUGUAAAGAAAGCUUUUGGCAUAAUGGCCUUCAUAAAUCAAUGUAUUGGGUACAAGAGAUGGAUUGUUAUGUUGAAGCUGUACAAGAUGUUGGUGAGGCCUAAUUUGGAGUAAUGUGUGCAGUUUUGGUCACCUACCUGCAGGUAAGAUGUAACCAAAUUUGAAAGAGUACAGAGAAGAUUUACAAGGAUUUUGCCAGGUCUGGAGGACCUGAGAUACAAGGAAAGAUUGAACAGGGUAGAACUGUAUUCUUUAGAACAUAAAAGACUGAGUGGAGAUUUGUCAUAGGUAUACAAACUUAUGGGGGGUAUAAUUAGUCUUUUUCCACUGAGAUUGGGUGGGACAACAACCAGAGGCUAUGGGUUAAAAUUGAAAGGUGUAAAAUCUUAGGGGAACAUCAGGCAAAACCUCUUCACUCAGAGGGCCAUGAGAGACUGGAAUGAGUUGCCAGCACAAGUGGUGCAUGCGAGCCGGGUCUCAGCCCGAAACGUCAACAGUGCUUCUCCCUACAGAUGCGGCCUGGCCUGCUGCAUUCCACCAGCAUUUUUAGUGUGUUGCUUGAAUUUCCAGCAUCUGCAGAUUUCGUCGUGUUUGCCUGGAUUUCAAUGUUUGGAUAUGUUCAUGGAUAGUUGGGAUAUGGAGGAGUAUGGUUUUGGUGCAGAUCGAUUGUAGUAGGCAGUUUAAAUGGUUUUGGCAUGGACCAGAUGGGUUGAAUGGUCUGUUUCUGUGCUGUACUUCUGUAUAAAUUUAAUCUCCAUUAUUUUUUCAUCCUCCUGAUGGGAACCUGAGACGAGCUGACACUCUCUGAGACGUGGGUCUCUAGGCUGUCCCAUUUUCAACUUCCUGCAUGGGCUGAAUAGAAAUGCGAUGUCUGAUCAGUGUAUCUGCUUCAGCAGACAAGUUUGCACCUGUACUAAUCCUGCUGGUGAAUGAUCUGGGCAUACACUGCAUCACUGCUCACACAGAUGAGCCAUCUUGUGCCGGGGGGGCAUCCGUAUUCUUGUGCAGACCAGGUAUCUACUGACAUGUCAUAGUCCCUUUGCUCCUGGGAGCGUCCCUGUCCACCAAGAGAAGCAAAUGUGUUUCUGCUCAAUGAUUCCUCACAAUAUCUAGCUACUGCUGUGUGACCAAGGUCAGAGAUCUAGUUUCAUCACAGACAGGAGGACAGUUGUCUCCACAGUAGCUGUUACCAUACAAGAAAGUGCACACAAUGUCCAGAGUGAAAGGGGUGAGCAGGGCUCCACAGACUCUCCAUAGGGCGCAGGAAGAUACACUCUUCCACCCUCCUUGCUAUCUCCUGAAUUCUGUCAACUAGCCUGAUGGAGAUCACUAAUCAGUUUCCGCAAGAAAACAUCUCAAGUGGCCCUUGGUGUUUAAGAGCAGAGAGUACAGCCUCAGAAUAGAAGGACAUCGUUUUAGAAUUGAGAUGAGGUGGAAUUUCUUCAAACAGACAGUGGUGAAUCUGUGAAAUU